This is a non-coding RNA of Corylus avellana, 3328 nucleotides long. Lineage: Eukaryota; Viridiplantae; Streptophyta; Magnoliopsida; Fagales; Betulaceae. The record is from RefSeq and is a predicted model, not a curated record.
UCUGAACGGGAUACUCUCCGGUUGCAUUGGACUGGGGAGAUGAUUGUUUUCCAACUUCUUUCCUACAUGUCACUUUUAAAAAAAUUAAAAUUAAAAUUAAAAACGAUGAAAACCUAGAAGCAUCUCUUAAAUUAAAAAACCGUAAGAGCCCCUCUCCCGCUCUCCCUUCCUCGCUCACCCUCUCUCUCACUCCGGCCACCGGCGAACUCCGUCGCUCCUGUCUCUAUCACUUUGGCGCAAGGGUUCCGUUCACCGGCAAGAAGAACGGGCCUUGCUCUCCCUCCCUCGCUCCUGUCUCUCUCUCACUCCGGCGCAAUCAUUCCCUGCCACGCGACGCAAAAAAGAACGAAACCCUCUCCCUCUCACACUCUCCCUCACUCGCUCCUGUCUCUCUCACUCCGGAGAAGGAUCUCCGGCCACGCAACCUGAAAAUCAGGUGGGCUUUGGUCAUCUCGCUCAGAUCUGGGCGUCGGCGAAAGAUCUCACGCAAAAAUCUCCACCUCCGGGAAGGUUCUCUCUCCUCCACCGACUUUAGAAGAAAGAUUGCUUCAGUCCAACAUGAUCGCCAUUGUUAGGACUUCUAUAACUUUGACAAUGAUAGAAAACCUGAGCAUUUCAAGCUAGGUCAAAUAUGGGCAGCUCAAUAUAGAGCAAAUUUAAGUAGCUUUCAGUAUGCUCGAGUUGAUCGCAAUUCUGCAGAAGCAGUUCUCUUUACAUGGUUAAAGCCAAACCCUGUCAGUAUUGGCGAGAAAAGAUGGUGUGAUACAGGCUUACCUGUUGCUUGUGGGUCAUUUGAUUUGGAUCCUAAGUUGAAUAGUGAGGAGAGUUGGCCAAUGGUUCCAUCCUACAAAUGUUCUUGGGAUCAUAGUGGGACAGAUGAAGAAUUUGAAAUUUACCCAAGAGAAUGUGAGAUUUUGGCACUAUAUAAGGAUUGGAACCUUGAUGAGUGGGUCUAUAAUCCUGAUUUUGUGAAAGCAUGCAAAUUUCAGUUGGUUGAAAUCAGACAUUUUUCAAAAUAUUUAGGUUCAUAUGGUGCAUGUUUGGUAAAGGUAGACGGUUUUAGAAACAUUUUUGAGAGACAAACAAUUGGAGGGAGUUCUGUCACUCUCCGCAUCCCUCCAGCAAAUCCAUACAUAUUCUCUCAUAAUGUCCUAGCAUAUAGGUUUAAGGGUGGAGAAAUUGAUAAAGUUGUUGAAGGGAUGCUUGAGUUGGACCAGUUGGCUUUACCUAAAAUUAUGAUUCAGGAGCAUGACUCCCCAAAAGCACCAAAGAAUUGGAAUGCUGGUAGUUUUUUAGCCAUAAUCCAUUGUGAGGGCAUCUUUCCUUGAUGUCAUAUCUAGAGGAGCAACUCCUGAAGCCUAGUUGGUCUUCAAAUGAUUUUGCCAUUGGUCAGGUAUGGGCUUUGUACAAUGGAAAAGAUUUUUUGCCUAGGCAAUACACCAUAAUAGAUAAUUUGAUUUCUGAGAGCCAAGUAUGUGUGACUUUCUUAGAAGCUCUACCUACUUUUGACAAUAGGAUUGCUUGGAAGAAAGAAAAGCUACCAAUUGUAUCCAGCAUGUCUGAGGUCAGUGGAACUAGUGUCAACCUUGAAAUGUCACAGUUCUCAUGUUUAGUCAACAGCCAAAAAAGCAAUGGUCUGCCACUCUACAAAAUUUACCCGCAAAAAGGUGAGAUUUGGGCUUUAUACAAGAACUGGAAUAGCAAAUGGAAGCGCUCUGAUUAUGAAAAUUACCAAUGCCAGGUUGUCCAAAUUCUAUCAGACUUGUGUGAGGGGAUGUGAUAACAGUAGCUAGGCUGACAGAGGUGAAGGGUUGGCUGACUUUCUUUCAUAGGCAACAAGUUGAUGGGUUUGAUUUGAUUCAUGUAGUUUCCACCAAAGAGAUGUUUAGUUUCUCUCAUCAAAUCCCUGCUUUCCGUGUGCCUGGAAUUGGGAGAUAUCGCAUUCCUGAAAGCUCUUGGCAUUUGGAACCAAAUGCUCUACCUCCCAAGCGCAAGAACUGAACAAUGUUCCAAAAUUCAGGGGGAAAAAAAGUUGUAAAAAAAUCUCAAUACAUGUCAAGGCUUUAAAUACAGUUGCAAGAAUUCCUCAAAUGUGAAUCUAGUAUAACCAGACUGGACGAUAAUUCAUCGCCAUAGCCUACUUAUGAAGCCCUUCUUGUCUUUCUUCAUCCUAUUCUCAAGAGAUGGGAAAUCGAUAUAAUUGAAGGCAAGGUCAAGAACAAUCUGAUUGCGAGGGAUUGCUUGGAAGGCAGGAGGGAAGACUUCAAUGUGUGAAACAACUUUGACAUUUGAAUCACCAACUGCUGGCUCAUAACUGUCCAAUUUCUCAAGAAGGAGAACUAUGACAUUUCAAGGUUGACACUAGUUCCACUGAUCUCAAACAUCCUGGAUACAACGGGUAACUUUUCAUUCUUCCAAGCAAUCUCAUGGUCAAAAGUAGGUAGAGCUUCUAAGAAAGUCACACAUACCUGGCUCUCAGAAAUUAAAUUAUCUAUUCUAGUGUAUUGCCUAGGCAAAAAAAUCUUUUUCACUGACCAGGACCCAUAUCUUUUUCACUGUAUAGGACCCAUAUCUGACCAAGUGGGCUUUGGGAGUUGCUCCUCUGGAUAUGACUUCAAGGAAGGAUGCCCUCCCAAUAGAUUAUGGCUAAAAAAACUGUCAGCAUUCUAAUUCUUUGGUGCUUUUGGGGAGUCAAUCUCCUGAAUCAUAAUUUCAGGUAAAGCCAACUAGUCCAGCUCAAACAUCCCUUUAACAACUUUAAUAAUUUCUCCACCCUUAAACUUAUAUGCUGGGACAUUAUGAGGGAAUAUGUACAGAUUUGCUAGAGGGAUGCAGAGAGUGAGAGGACUCCCUCCAAUUGUUUCUCUCUAAAAUGUUUCUAAAACCGUCUUCCUUUACCAAACAUGCACCAUAUGAACCUAAAUAUUUUGAAAAAUGUAUGAUUUCAACCAAUUGAAAUUUGCAUCCUUUCACAGAAUCAGGAUUAUAGACCCACUCAUCAAGGUUCCAAUCCUUAUACAGUGCCCAAAUCUCACAUUCUCUUGGGUAAAUUUUAAAUUCAUCAUCUGUCCUACCAUGAUCCCAAGAACAUUUGUAGGAUGGAAUCAUUGGCCAGCUCUCCUCACUAUUCAACUCUGGAUUCAAAUCAAAUGACCCACAAGCAACAGGUAAGCCUGCAUCACACCAUCUUUUCUCGCCAAUACUAAUAGGGUUUGGCUUUAAUCAUGUAAAGAGAAUUGCGAUCGACUUGAUCAUACCAAAAGUUACUUAAAUUUGCUCUAUAUUGAGUUGCCCAUAUCUGACUUGGCUUGAAAUGCUCAGAUUUUUU